This 468-nucleotide ribosomal RNA is filed under the name Fusarium poae. Its description in RNAcentral is "eukaryotic LSU rRNA". It matches the Rfam family "Eukaryotic large subunit ribosomal RNA", at positions 1 to 471 of the family's 3401-position model. The record is from RNAcentral. Lineage: Eukaryota; Fungi; Ascomycota; Sordariomycetes; Hypocreales; Nectriaceae.
UGUUGACCUCGGAUCAGGUAGGAAUACCCGCUGAACUUAAGCAUAUCAAUAAGCGGAGGAAAAGAAACCAACAGGGAUUGCCCUAGUAACGGCGAGUGAAGCGGCAACAGCUCAAAUUUGAAAUCUGGCUCUCGGGCCCGAGUUGUAAUUUGUAGAGGAUGACUUUGAUGCGGUGCCUUCCGAGUUCCCUGGAACGGGACGCCAUAGAGGGUGAGAGCCCCGUCUGGUUGGAUGCCAAAUCUCUGUAAGUCUCCUUCGACGAGUCGAGUAGUUUGGGAAUGCUGCUCUAAAUGGGAGGUAUAUGUCUUCUAAAGCUAAAUACCGGCCAGAGACCGAUAGCGCACAAGUAGAGUGAUCGAAAGAUGAAAAGCACUUUGAAAAGAGAGUUAAAAAGUACGUGAAAUUGUUGAAAGGGAAGCGUUUAUGACCAGACUUGGGCUUGGUUAAUCAUCUGGGGUUCUCCCCAGU